GUGGGGAAUAUUGGACAAUGGGGGGAACCCUGAUCCAGCCAUGCCGCGUGUGUGAAGAAGGCCUUUUGGUUGUAAAGCACUUUAAGCGAGGAGGAGGCUACCGAGAUUAAUACUCUUGGAUAGUGGACGUUACUCGCAGAAUAAGCACCGGCUAACUCUGUGCCAGCAGCCGCGGUAAUACAGAGGGUGCAAGCGUUAAUCGGAUUUACUGGGCGUAAAGCGCGCGUAGGUGCCCAAUUAAGUCAAAUGUGAAAUCCCCGAGCUUAACUUGGGAAUUGCAUUCGAUACUGGUUGGCUAGAGUAUGGGAGAGGAUGGUAGAAUUCCAGGUGUAGCGGUGAAAUGCGUAGAGAUCUGGAGGAAUACCGAUGGCGAAGGCAGCCAUCUGGCCUAAUACUGACACUGAGGUGCGAAAGCAUGGGGAGCAAACAGGAUUAGAAACCCGAGUAGUCC
RNAcentral lists this ribosomal RNA (451 nucleotides) under uncultured bacterium. RNAcentral describes it as "partial 16S ribosomal RNA". It matches the Rfam family "Bacterial small subunit ribosomal RNA", at positions 354 to 796 of the family's 1533-position model. The record is from RNAcentral.